This 1304-nucleotide long non-coding RNA is filed under the name Homo sapiens (human). Its description in RNAcentral is "HSALNT0021582". The record is from RNAcentral. Lineage: Eukaryota; Metazoa; Chordata; Mammalia; Primates; Hominidae.
AACAGGGGCUGAACAGGGGAUUGAGUCUCCACGUUUUGGGUUGAAUAAAAAUUGCCAGGUGGAGGUUGUCAGGGGGAAGGUGUUAAAUGGAAACACUAUAUAUAAACUGCAUGCUUUUUGCAAGGGACUGUGGCUUUCCUGCCCAGCCUGCCACCGCUGAACUGUAUAUAAGGUGGUUCUUCUCUUCAGCCCACUGUCAGUGGGCUCCCUCCCCCGUAUGUAAGCCCCCAGCAAACUCCAUUUCUUGUUUGCUGGCUCAGAGCCUCUUCUUUGGCCUCUUAAAAUAGGGGUUCGGCAUGACACCAUUGUGUGCAUAGAGGAGGCACGCGGAGGAGAGCGAACAGACUCCCAAAGUAAAACUUCAUCUACUCCUGAAUUUUGCCUGGACCCCACUCGGGUGGCCACAGGCGUGGAUUCGCAGUUGCGCUAUCUGCAUUGGAGCCCAUCUGCUGCUUUUCCUUGGACAAUGGCUGCCCGUUUAGGGUUGUGACCCAGGAGUCGCUGUGGUUAUCAACUGCGAGAGCUCAAACGGACACAUGAGAAGCAGCUUUGUUUAGCGUCCUUGACAUAACUAACCACAUAUUAACAACAGAGCCUUGUGGUAUAGAGGCUCCUGUUUGUUCAGAAUCUUAAUAGGUGGGCUUUGUGCACAUGGAUUUCUAAUACUGCUUACCCUGUAUUUUAAGUCAAAGAGGGUCUUUGUGUGAAGGAUUCUCCACCUCCUUUUCCCUUUCUACGAAGGAGGCACAAAGCUGAUCAUUCAGUGGAGUCCAUUCUCACCAUGAGAAGAACAUUCUACUGUCAGCAGGCAGAGUGAGGAUGGAGACAUCACUGAUUCACUUGGCUAGUUCCAUGUGGGCAUUCCAUGUCCAUGGAUGAAUGGAUAAGUAACUGAUCCACAAGAGGAGGCAGGACCUAUUCUAUCAAGGAUCGGUAAUUGGGAAUAAGCUUCUCAUUUCAUCCUAAAGGAUUCUGUCACUCCACUGAAAUCUUAAGAGUCUCCAGUGCUUGUUAGGAAAGUGUGGAAGAUGAACCCCUUCUUCAUCCACAGGGGACAACUUCAGGAGAGGGCUCUGCUGGCAUCCCCAAACUCGCACUUGGAAUCAUAAUGGUGCUAUGAGACGAGCGAACACAGUAAGCUGGGGAGAUGAGUGAUUGCAUCUGAUGUUGGAGGACUAGAUCCUGCAGGAAGGUUAGCGGGGAACAUCCCCACGGUCACUGUUUGUUUGUUUACCUAACUUCAAAAUUCUCUCUGGAGCUGCUUAGACAAAGCCUGACUUAUCUUCCCAAAGAUGAAACACUGG